Molecule: ribosomal RNA, 115 nt
Filed under: Gimibacter soli
Lineage: Bacteria; Pseudomonadati; Pseudomonadota; Alphaproteobacteria; Kordiimonadales; Temperatibacteraceae
Source: RNAcentral
UCUGGUGGUUAUGACAGGUUCGAACCACCCGGUCCCAUCCCGAACCCGGAAGUGAAAGGGCCUCGUGCCAAUGGUACUUCAGCUCAAGCUGCGGAAGAGUAGGUCGCCGCCAGAU